ACUCCUACGGGAGGCAGCAGUGGGGAAUAUUGCACAAUGGGCGGAAGCCUGAUGCAGCGACGCCGCGUGAGGGAUGACGGCCUUCGGGUUGUAAACCUCUUUCAGCAGGGACGAAGCGCAAGUGACGGUACCUGCAGAAGAAGCGCCGGCCAACUACGUGCCAGCAGCCGCGGUAAGACGUAGGGCGCGAGCGUUGUCCGGAUUUAUUGGGCGUAAAGAGCUCGUAGGCGGCUUGUCGCGUCGAAUGUGAAAUCUCAGGGCUCAACUCUGACAUUGCAUUCGAUACGGGCAGGCUAGAGUUCGGUAGGGGAGACUGGAAUUCCUGGUGUAGCGGUGAAAUGCGCAGAUAUCAGGAGGAACACCGGUGGCGAAGGCGGGUCUCUGGGCCGAUACUGACGCUGAGGAGCGAAAGCGUGGGGAGCGAACAGGAUUAGAUACCCUGGUAGCGUCGUCU
RNAcentral lists this ribosomal RNA (454 nucleotides) under uncultured bacterium. Its description in RNAcentral is "bacterial SSU rRNA". It matches the Rfam family "Bacterial small subunit ribosomal RNA", at positions 335 to 802 of the family's 1533-position model. The record is from RNAcentral.